CGAAAGGCGCAGCUACACAUGCAGUCGAGCGAAGCCUUCGGGCUUAGCGGCGGACGGGUGAGUAACGCGUGGGAACGUGCCCUUCACUACGGAAUAGUCCCGGGAAACUGGGUUUAAUACCGUAUACGCCCUUCGGGGGAAAGAAUUUCGGUGAAGGAUCGGCCCGCGUUAGAUUAGGUAGUUGGUGGGGUAAUGGCCUACCAAGCCUACGAUCUAUAGCUGGUUUGAGAGGAUGAUCAGCCACACUGGGACUGAGACACGGCCCAGACUCCUACGGGAGGCAGCAGUGGGGAAUCUUAGACAAUGGGGGCAACCCUGAUCUAGCCAUGCCGCGUGAGUGAUGAAGGCCUUAGGGUCGUAAAGCUCUUUCGCUGGGGAAGAUAAUGACGGUACCCAGUAAAGAAACCCCGGCUAACUCCGUGCCAGCAGCCGCGGUAAU
Molecule: ribosomal RNA, 439 nt
Filed under: Rhodovulum adriaticum
Lineage: Bacteria; Pseudomonadati; Pseudomonadota; Alphaproteobacteria; Rhodobacterales; Paracoccaceae
Description: bacterial SSU rRNA
Rfam family: Bacterial small subunit ribosomal RNA
Source: RNAcentral